AGCCCUACUGAGCUCUUACAGAAUUAUUGCUGAAUUAUGAACAAAUAUAGUAAUUGUUGUUUUAGGCCACCGAGGUCCAGGUGUUUUGUCAUGAAGAAAUAAAUAACAGAAGCAA
Molecule: long non-coding RNA, 115 nt
Organism: Sapajus apella (tufted capuchin)
Lineage: Eukaryota; Metazoa; Chordata; Mammalia; Primates; Cebidae
Exons: 4
Source: RefSeq, a predicted model, not a curated record